Molecule: ribosomal RNA, 1433 nt
Filed under: uncultured Alphaproteobacteria bacterium
Lineage: Bacteria; Pseudomonadati; Pseudomonadota; Alphaproteobacteria
Description: uncultured alpha proteobacterium 16S ribosomal RNA
Rfam family: Bacterial small subunit ribosomal RNA
Source: RNAcentral
AGAGUUUGAUCAUGGCUCAGAACGUACGCUGGCGGCACGCCUAACACAUGCAAGUCGAACGAAGUAGCAAUACUUAGUGGCAGACGGGUGAGUAACAUGUAGGUAUCUGCCCUUUGGCCUGGAAUAACACGAGGAAACUUGUGCUAAUACCGGAUAAGUCUUUACGGAGAAAGCUUUAUGCACCAUUGGAUGAGCCUGCACUUGAUUAGUUUGUUGGUGGGGUAAUGGCCCACCAAGACUGUGAUCAAUAGCUGAUUUGAGAGGAUGAUCAGCCACAUUGGGACUGAGACACGGCCCAAACUCCUACGGGAGGCAGCAGUGGGGAAUCUUGCACAAUGGAGGAAACUCUGAUGCAGCGAUGCCGCGUGAGUGAAGAAGGCCCUUGGGUUGUAAAGCUCUUUCGUCGGGGAAGAAAAUGACUGUACCCGAAUAAGAAGGUCCGGCUAACUUCGUGCCAGCAGCCGCGGUAAUACGAAGGGACCUAGCGUAGUUCGGAAUUACUGGGCUUAAAGAGUUCGUAGGUGGUUAAAAAAGUUGGUGGUGAAAUCCCAGAGCUUAACUCUGGAACUGCCAUCAAAACUUUUUAGCUAGAGUAUGAUAGAGGAAAGCAGAAUUUCUAGUGUAGAGGUGAAAUUCGUAGAUAUUAGAAAGAAUACCAAUUGCGAAGGCAGCUUUCUGGAUCAUUACUGACACUGAGGAACGAAAGCAUGGGUAGCGAAGAGGAUUAGAUACCCUCGUAGUCCAUGCCGUAAACGAUGUGUGUUAGACGUUGGAAAUUUAUUUUCAGUGUCGCAGCGAAAGCGAUAAACACACCGCCUGGGGAGUACGACCGCAAGGUUAAAACUCAAAUGAAUUGACGGGGACCCGCACAAGUAGUGGAGCAUGUGGUUUAAUUCGAAGAUACGCGCAGAACCUUACCAACACUUGACAUGUUCGUCGCGACUUUAAGAGAUUAAAGUUUUCGGUUCGGCCGGACGAAACACAGGUGCUGCAUGGCUGUCGUCAGCUCGUGUCGUGAGAUGUUGGGUUAAGUCCCGCAACGAGCGCAACCCUCACUUUUAGUUGCCAUCAUUUAGUUGGGCACUCUGAAAGAACUGCCAGUGAUAAGCUGGAGGAAGGUGGAGAUGACGUCAAGUCCUCAUGGCCCUUACGUGUUGGGCUACACACGUGCUACAAUGGUAUCUACAACAGGAAGCAAAACCGCGAGGUUAAGCAAAUCCUUAAAAGAUACCUCAGUUCGGAUUGCACUCUGCAACUCGAGUGCAUGAAGCUGGAAUUACUAGUAAUCGUGGAUCAGCGUGCCACGGUGAAUGCGUUCCCGGGUCUUGUACACACCGCCCGUCACACCAUGGGAGUUGGUUCUACCUUAAGGCAAGGUUUCAAACCCUUGACCACGGUAUAGUCAGCGACUGGGGGGAAGUCGUAGCAAGGUA